This 641-nucleotide long non-coding RNA is filed under the name Equus asinus (donkey). RNAcentral describes it as "lncRNA (ENSEASG00005027135.1)". The record is from RNAcentral. Lineage: Eukaryota; Metazoa; Chordata; Mammalia; Perissodactyla; Equidae.
GUUUCCACUGGCAGAAAAUCAUGGAAUGAAGCUCAGAGAAGGAAAACACUUGAAAGAUGUCUGGUCCUUGGUUCAGCUGUUGUUGCUAGACAAGUUAACACCCAGCCCAAUCUAAGCAGAUGUCUGUUUAAAAUGAGGGACAGAAAAUGAUGCCAGCUAGACUGUUGAAAUUUAUAUUUCAAUUUUCUUUAUAUAUUUUUUCUCGCUUUAUUUUGUUUUGUUUUGAUAAGGAGACGUCUGGAAAUAAAUAUCCUUGCAUUUAUUGCCAGGUACUUUGUUCACUAACAAAGUACAUCUGGCAGCACUUCCCUCGUGUUGCUGCUUCUUCCUGCUCCUGCUCUCCAUCAACCAAGGUUUUUGUUGACAUUGGUGUCAGAAGUGGGACCCGAAGUAACCCCCGGACCCUUCCCUGCACUGUCUUGGAUCAUCGCAUCAGCACCUACAAGAGCCCCGUGAGCUCAGUUGCUCUUUGGCAGUGUUGAGAGACUUCUGGCAAACUCCUUGGAGAUGAAGAAUCAAGGCAUAAUCCACCUCCUGGAGAUUUUAUUUAUUGGAAAUUACACCAACUCAAGGACUCUCUACAGUCUCAUUGGAAAAGGCCUUACAAGGAGACAAGUGGGAAGAAGUGUGAAAAUGUGAUU